Molecule: long non-coding RNA, 3258 nt
Filed under: Marmota monax (woodchuck)
Lineage: Eukaryota; Metazoa; Chordata; Mammalia; Rodentia; Sciuridae
Source: RNAcentral
CCUGUGGCACACAGCAGGCAGGUGGCUUGAUCUCGCUGUUGGUGAUGUAGCUUGGAAGGCUCGUGCCUGUCCAGGCAGCUCUGCCAGGUGUAUUUCCCCUGAGCUCUGACUACCUCUCCCCAUGGGACACACUGUCCCUUCGUGGCUGCCUGUGACCACACCCGAGUUCACUGUCCUGGGUCUCCACACACUUACGGGCCUUUCUGUAGAAGGAGUCUUAAAAAGCAGGUUCUCUGGGGCAAAAGACGUAAAUGUCUAACUCUCCAUAGUUGCUGAUACAUAGCCAGGAAGGCGGCCUGUGCCUGUGGUCCCAGCUGCUCCAGAGGCUGAGUUGGGGAUUGCUUGGCCCAGCAGUCCCAGGCCAGCCUGGGCAGGACAGGGACCCUGUCUCAAAAAACAAACAAAAAACCCAAGGCAGAUGGUUUUCUUGCCUUCCUUCUUUUUUCUUUUUUUUUGUGGAACAGGAGGAGACAUUCAAGCUGGGUGUAAUCCAAGUCAGUGGCUCAGGAGGCUGAGGCAGAAGGAUCGCACUUUGAGGGCAGCCAGAUCAACUUUGGAGACUCUGUUACAAGACAAGACAUAAAAGGGGCUGGGGUGUGGCUCAGUGGUAAAGCAGCCCUGCCUGCAACAGCCUGCACCCCAGUGGGUGCCCAGCACUGUCUGCUAGGCAGGAUUCCACUCCCAGCCAUACCCCAGGACAGACAGGAGACCUGAUCUCAGGACCCUGCACAAGAACCCUCUGCAGUGGGCCAACUCAGCCCUAUGGCAGGCAGCCUGGCUGGCACCACACAGGAUGAAUGAAGGACGGUGGGCAGCAGGGGGCACACCCGUGGAGAGGAAGACUCCCACCUCACACAGAUGGAUGCCAUCUCCUGAUGGGAACACUCAAGUGUCCCUCGUCCCCCCGCCCCACUUCCCACCUCACAGCUCCCUGUGUUCUGCUGUGGUGCAAGGAACUGCAUGGAACAUCCCAGAAAUAAGCAAUGUAUAAGUUUUAAGUGUGUGUGUGUGUGUGUGUGUGUGUGUGGUGCUGGGGAUUGAACCCAGGGGUGCUCUCUUGUUUUUAUUUUGAGACAGGGUCUCUCUAAGUUGCUGAGCCUGGCCUUGAACUUUCUUUCCUCUUGUCUCAGGAGUGUGUCAUCAAACCUGGCUUAAAUAUCUUCUGUGAUGGUAUGUUGUCACAGUUGUUCUUUUUAUCAUUAGUUGUUGCUAAUCUCUCGCUGUGACUAAUUUGCAGCCUGAGGCACCCCUGGGGGCCUGGGACCAUAUUCCCAAGGGUAAGGGAUAUGACUGAACGCAAAGCUUAAGAGCAGACAAACCAACCUGUGCAGAGAAACAGCCACAGUGUCCCUGGGGAGAGACAGACUGGAAGGGUCACAGAAGACACCGAGGCAGGGUCCCAGACUGCCCCCUGGCUGAUGUGGUAUGGUGUGUCUACCAGAACCCAUCACGGGAAGGUGUGUCUGCCACACCAGGUGACGGCCCUUCCAGGCUGGACUGCACUUAUGUCACUCUCUGUGUGUUCUAACAUGGGCCACAGCACAAUGGCACCAGCUCACAGCGUGGCUUUGAAUAUGGGAAGUAACAGUCGGUGUGUCACUCUGGGGGCUGAGAACUGGCUGUUGGCCACUACCUCGCUGAGGACGACUCUGGGACACAGGGGAGUGAUGUGCCCCUGUUCCCUGGCUGCCCCCUGGCGGUUUCCACCAGUCAGGCCCUGGUCUGCUCCUGGGCUCUGCAGAGGGUAUUCCAUUUCUGCUGUUUCCUCCAGUUUUGGACACAUUGCCACCGGGAUGUCGCUACACUUGUCUCCUCUUGGGACAUUCUGUUGUGACUUCGUGUUUUGGUGACUACCUGUGGCUGUAAGUGUCCUCCUAAUUAUCAGUUGGCUCCAUGGCUGAGAGUCAGGAAAGCAGUAGAUUAAUUCUACUAACUUGACCCCAAAUAGUAAGGGUCUCAGUGACCGUGUGGAGACCUCAGGCCAGAUGGCCGGGCUGUUGCCUUGCCAUUGCAUCUCCUCCCCACAGCUGGCCCUGGUACUGCUGCAGCCCUCCACCUCCAGGUGGCAACCCUCCUGCAGGCCACCUGUGUGCGUGUGAGCACCAGGUUUCCUUAGCAGGUGCAGGGGCACACAAGACCAGCUGCACUUCGCCAGAGCUCUUCUUGGUCGGUGCCCUGUCUGGGCUGUACCUCUGCUGGAGAUACUGUCCACCUGUGAUAGGCCUUUCUGGACCCAAGACACUAACUUUGUCCUACACCCCAGCCUUUUAAUUUCAGGCCUCAUGCCACCUUCUAGAAGGAACUUCUUACAAUUUCUGCAGUAGGAACAAGCUCAGACCCCAGCACCUACCCCUGGUGGAGCCCACUAGGACCCUGGAGGCUGCCCAUCUCCUGGCAAUCCUAGGCAGGGCCUCUGGGCCUCCUCCCUCUGGGCAGCUGGGAAGCCGUUUCCUCGGAAACAUUUAUAAGCAGAUGUUGUGAAAAUACCAAUUAUGUGGUUUGGUUGGAUUCAAUCUCUAUCUAAUCGUAGAAACUAAUUAUAGGUUGCCACUACUAAAUAAUUUCAAGGAAAAAAUCAAAUCAUGUUAUUUUCUUGCCAAUAAACCACUCAACUAUAUGUAAUCUUAUCAUUUGAUGUGAAGUACAGGUUUUAUUCAAGAUUAAGUUUUACACACAAUUGAGCCACCUCUCACGAGAUGAGCAGGUCAACAUACCACAGGGCAAUUUCAGUCCAGCAAGUCCAGCACAGACUCCAGCUUACAUGGAAAUGACAUCAUUAUCACUAUUAUUGCUACUAGGGAACUGACUGCUGACCUCAUACAUGCCAGGCAAGCAUUCUACCAUUGAGCAACAUUCCCAGACCUUUUAAAAUUUUUGUUUUGAGACAGUCUCGCUAAGUUACCCAGGCUGGCCUCGAACUUGUGAUCCUCUUGCCUCCUAAGUCACUGGAAUUGCAGGAGAGGGGCCACCAUGCCUGGCUGUUUCAUGACCUUUUGAUGUCUCAAGCUCAGAACCCCCUGAACAGAGCGUGAUGACACCCAAGAAAUGAAGCGUGUGACCCGUGAAGAGGUGCAGUGCCCUCCACACUAGCAGACAAGGGUUCUUGCCAUUCAGUAAGCAAGUAUCCCCUGCUCUUCUGUCUGACAACUCCUCUGAUGUCGUAGAUCUGGAAGCAGAUCUGGGCUUACAGUACCUGCCCUCCUGUGGUUGGCCUCAUAAUAAAGCUCCUUCCUUUUGUAAAACCAGGAGACGUGGUGC